UACGUAGGGGGCAAGCGUUGUCCGGAUUUAUUGGGCGUAAAAGGCUUGUAGGUGGCCACGCCAGGUCGGAUGUGAAAUCUCCCGGCUCAACUGGGAGGGGUCAUUCGAUACUGGUGGGCUCGAGGCCGGUAGGGGGAAGCGGAAUUCCCGGUGUAGUGGUGGAAUGCGUAGAUAUCGGGAGGAACACCAGUGGCGAAGGCGGCUUCCUGGACCGGUUCUGACACUGAGGAGCGAAAGCGUGGGGAGCGAUCCGG
RNAcentral lists this ribosomal RNA (254 nucleotides) under uncultured bacterium. RNAcentral describes it as "partial 16S ribosomal RNA". It matches the Rfam family "Bacterial small subunit ribosomal RNA", at positions 524 to 776 of the family's 1533-position model. The record is from RNAcentral.